RNAcentral lists this ribosomal RNA (771 nucleotides) under uncultured bacterium. RNAcentral describes it as "bacterial SSU rRNA". It matches the Rfam family "Bacterial small subunit ribosomal RNA", at positions 8 to 796 of the family's 1533-position model. The record is from RNAcentral.
AGAGUUUGAUCCUGGCUCAGAAUGAACGCUGGCGGCGUGCCUAAGACAUGCAAGUCGUACGAGAAAGUAGCAAUAUGAGUAAAGUGGCGCACGGGUGAGUAAUACUUGGAUAAUGCGCCUCUUCGCUGGGGAUAACUAGGCGAAAGCUUGGCUAAUACCGAAUAGUCCGUUUGGGGCUGUGGCUCUGAUCGGUAAAGCCGUAAGGCGCGGAGAGAGUAGUCCAAGUCCCAUUAGCUAGUUGGCAGGGUAAAAGCCUACCAAGGCAUCGAUGGGUAGCUGGUCUGAGAGGACGAUCAGCCACACUGGUACUGGAACACGGACCAGACUCCUACGGGAGGCAGCAGUUAGGAAUUUUGCGCAAUGGGGGAAACCCUGACGCAGCAACGCCGCGUGAAGGAUGAAGGCUUUCGGGUUGUAAACUUCUUUUAGCAGGAAAGAAAAAAAUGACGGUACCUGCAGAAAAAGCACCGGCUAACUCUGUGCCAGCAGCCGCGGUAAUACAGAGGGUGCAAGCGUUAUUCGGAGUUACUGGGCGUAAAGAGCGCGUAGGCGGCUCGAUAAGUCCGAUGUGAAACCCCUGGACUCAAUCCAGGAAGUGCAUCGGAUACUGUCAAACUAGAGUACAGGAGGGGAGAGUGGAAUUCCUGGUGUAGAGGUGAAAUUCGUAGAUAUCAGGAGGAACAACAGUGGCGAAGGCGACUCUCUGGACUGUUACUGACGCUGAGGCGCGAAAGCGUGGGGAGCAAACAGGAUUAGAUACCCUAGUAGUCC